AGGUCUGUGAAGAUCUGGAGCAUGGCCCAAUGGCGACAAUCAGCAUUGCCGGGAAUCGAACUCGGGUGUCCGGGCUGCCAGCGUGUUUACUAGGGAAGGCCUCGCUGACUAACAGGAGGCUGAUUCACGAGGAUCCUGCCAAGGAGAAGUCGGAUGAGCUAUGGAACUCUUCUUUCACAGAUGGCCGAAUUUUGGACGUUUGGCCAAAUGCCGAAACCACGGGUGAGAAAGCGGAGGUCGCAAAGGAAACCCGUCGCAGAACGCGGGGAGAACGCGACAACAUCUCGCGCAGAACGGGCGCCCGAGUCUGGAGUCGAACCCAGGUCCCUUCUUGCUGCGAGGCCGCGCGAGCGUUGGCGACUGCGCUGCCGCGACCCUGCCCCGCUACACACUCCCCCCCCCCCACCCCCGUUCCGUGUGUUGGCGGAGCGUCUGUCGACAGGGUCGCCUAAUUUAUCGAUUCACGGGGAGAGCCGUCGAUGGGAUUUCGUUUCUUUUCCUUUUCCCCGCCCUCACAGCCACGACGCUAUUGCUUUGUCGAUGGGCUGCGCCGGGUUCACGCACGGCGCUUCGCCCUUAAGCGCCACCGUGGUUUGGCAACGAAGCUCAAGUUGAAGUGCGACGCUCAACGCAUCACGGUGGGCUCGCAACAAAAGUCUCCGGUGACGCAGUUAGGACCCACGACGCACCCUGCAACUGAGAACCCGGUUGAAUUCAACUCGGUCUGUGUUCGUCUGCGGCUCCCUCCGUGAUCUUCUUGGUUCUUUCGGUAAAGUCACGUAGAAGGGAAAUAAUAAAAUAAUAAAAAUAAAACAUAAUAAAAUACAAUUCUCACGACGUUUCGGCCACAACGCAAGCAGCCGUCCUCAGGUGAAGAACAGGUCUGUCGGAAAGACAGCGUCAUUCAGACGCUGUCUUUCCGACAGACCUGUUCUUCCCUUCUACGUGACUUUACCGAAAGAACCAAGAAGAUGAAUCCCUGCAGUCACGAAAGCUUUAAAUCGAAAUCUCCCUCCGUGAGUUUGUUUGGCUCUGCGUGAGUCUACGGCGCGGGGGAGGGGGGGGGGUCUCUACGCGAGUCUUUGGCAACGGGGCUAGGACCCUGAAAGCACUGCAACUGAGAACCCGGUUUAACCACGGUUUGGCUGUACCGAAUCGAAUCCAGGGUCUUAGCGGUGGCAACUCAUCGCUCUGACCUCUGAGCGUGCAGGCCACCGCUAGGGCCACCGCCGGUAUGAAUGUAAUCAUUAAGCGCAAAUCAUCACGAUCCGUCUACCCAGAAAUGCGUGUCAUGCGCGGCUUUUCCUCUCCGUAUUCUCGUCCCACGCGAAUGAGUUGGCCCCGACUCAUCGUCGAUGCGGGGAAGCCACCCGAAAGGUACGACUCUGACGGGCAGCUUUUGAGACGUUCCAAUUCGAACGAAGUUCAAUCACGCGGGAGCUGAGCGCCUAAUCUUGACAGGAAGCUCAGCAGGCACCCGCCCAGGGGGCCUGGACAGGCGCCGGAUGGGCGACUAGAAAAAAAAAACCUCGAAAAUGAACUUUUUUACACUAUUGGAACCUCAUUUGCCAGAAGAAAAAAUAUGAUAAUUGUUUUUUACCCUUUUAUCUGGCAACAAAACCAACACCUUUUUUACAAGGAGUCAUGUUUGCAUAGACCACAAUACCUGCAGUCAUAAUGCAAACAAAAAACACAACUCUGAUCAUUUAUGCACUGUCCUUGAAGUUGAUUGGUCCACACCCGAGACAGCUUUCCUUAGAGCCUAGUCUCACAUGGUGUUGGACCAGAUGACGCCAAAAGGCGCACAACUCAAAGACAAUGCACCAUCAGAGUAUGAGAGCUCGGGGUAAGCAUUUACACCAUUGGAACCUCAUUUGCCAGAAGAAAAAAUAUGAUAAUUGUUUUUUACCCUUUUAUCUGGCAACAAAACCAACACCUUUUUUACAAGGAGUCAUGUUUGCAUAGACCACAAUACCUGCAGUCAUAAUGCAAACAAAAAACACAACUCUGAUAAUUUAUGCACUGUCCUUGAAGUUGAUUGGUCCACACCCGAGACAGCUUUCCUUAGAGCCUAGUCUCACAUGGUGUUGGAUCAGAUGACGCCAAAAGGCGCACAACUCAAAGACAAUGCACCAUCAGAGUAUGAGAGCUCGGGGUAAGCAUUUACACCAUUGGAACCUCAUUUGCCAGAAGAAAAAAUAUGAUAAUUGUUUUUUACCCUUUUAUCUGGCAACAAAACCAACACCUUUUUUACAAGGAGUCAUGUUUGCAUAGACCACAAUACCUGCAGUCAUAAUGCAAACAAAAAACACAACUCUGAUAAUUUAUGCACUGUCCUUGAAGUUGAUUGGUCCACACCCGAGACAGCUUUCCUCAGAGCCUAGUCUCACAUGGUGUUGGACCAGAUGACGCCAAAAGGCGCACAACUCAAAGACAAUGCACCAUCAGAGUAUGAGAGCUCGGGGUAAGCAUUUACACCAUUGGAACCUCAUUUGCCAGAAGAAAAAAUAUGAUCAUUGUUUUUUACCCUUUUAUCUGGCAACAAAACCAACACCUUUUUUACAAGGAGUCAUGUUUGCAUAGACCACAAUACCUGCAGUCAUAAUGCAAACAAAAAACACAACUCUGAUAAUUUAUGCACUGUCCUUGAAGUUGAUUGGUCCACACCCGAGACAGCUUUCCUUAGAGCCUAGUCUCACAUGGUGUUGGACCAGAUGACGCCAAAAGGCGCACAACUCAAAGACAAUGCACCAUCAGAGUAUGAGAGCUCGGGGUAAGCAUUUACACCAUUGGAACCUCAUUUGCCAGAAGAAAAAAUAUGAUAAUUGUUUUUUACCCUUUUAUCUGGCAACAAAACCAACACCUUUUUUACAAGGAGUCAUGUUUGCAUAGACCACAAUACCUGCAGUCAUAAUGCAAACAAAAAACACAACUCUGAUAAUGUAUGCACUGUCCUUGAAGUUGAUUGGUCCACACCCGAGACAGCUUUCCUUAGAGCCUAGUCUCACAUGGUGUUGGACCAGAUGACGCCAAAAGGCGCACAACUCAAAGACAAUGCACCAUCAGAGUAUGAGAGCUCGGGGUAAGCAUUUACACCAUUGGAACCUCAUUUGCCAGAAGAAAAAAUAUGAUAAUUGUUUUUUACCCUUCUAUCUGGCAACAAAACCGACACUUUUUUUACAAGGAGUCAUAUUUGCAUAGACCACAAUACCUGCAGUCGUAAUGCAAACAAUGCAAACAUGACUCCUUGUAAAAAUAAAAGGUGUCAGUUUUGUUGCCAGAUAAUAGGGCAAAAACCCAAUUAUCAUGAACUUUUUUAAAUCCUUUAUAUUAAGUUCGCUUGCUUGCGUGCUUGCGUGCUUGCUUGCUUGCUUACGACCGUGCAAAUCUUUCGGUCGUUAUUUAACCCACUUCCCAUGAUCCAAUCGAGCUGACAUUUUGCACACAGACUCGUUGUGCGAGACAAUUAAUGUUCGUGAAAAUUUUUUUCCAAAAAUUUUACACUUUUAGGGAAAACAAAUUAAAUAUUUAAUUACCAAUUGCUUAAUACUGGCAGAAAAUCAUCUGACCCAUAGGUGGCAGCCAUCUCAAGCCAGAGGACGAGAGGACUCUAGCCGCCACGCAUAUAAAGGAUUUAUAGUGAAAAACUUUGUUUUUACGGGUUAUACUUGUUAUUUUACCAGGUGAGGCCUACUGAGCGGUGUAGCUCCUUUUCAGAAGCGACCGCCUGUCCAUCACUAAUGGUGGCCCGACGAAGUGGCUUGUCGCGCGGAAAUUUAUAGCAGCCUCUGAACGCAUCUUCGGCAAAGUGCGGUUAAGUACGGUCAAAGCAACCCUCAGCAUAUGCACUGUGUGUGUGGGGGGCGGGGGGGGCUGCCCUGUGAUGUCGUCACUUGCGAGCCAAUGAGAUGUGCGGGGACGGUGAUAUUUUUAAAUGUACCGAUUGUCAAUGACAAAACGCGGUGUGCAUUUGUGCCAUUCCUUCACGUCAAGUCCUGGUCACAAAAGCAAAGUUUGUGGUGAAUAACAAUGGCCGUUUUCUGUACUUUAGAGGCAUAAGCAAUUAGAAAAUAACACGACCCAGGGACAAAACUCGUGUUACAAAGUGGAUUUACGAGUGACAGCAUCCUGCCUCAGCAGCUCUCUCGCUAAUUGUUUCACCUGAUGACGAUUGCUUGCGUUGCGAUCGAAACGUCGUGAUAUUUGUAGUGUUUUUUAAAUCCUUUAUAUUAAAUUCGCUUGCUUGCUUGCUUGCGUGCUUGCUUGCUUACGACCGUGCAAAUCUUUCGGUCGUUUUUUAACCCACUUCCCGUGAUCCAAUCGAGUUGACAUUUUCCACACAGACUCGUUGUGCCAGACAAUUAAUGUUCGUGAAAAAAAAAUUCCCAAAAUUUUACACUUUUUAGGCAAAAAAAAUGUAUUUUACAUAUAUUCAAAUAGAACUCAUUCAUUGCUUUGGCUGAACGUCACAGUAUAAGAGCCCAGAGCGUAACCCCUUCACAGGCCGUGGCGGAGUAGCGCAGUUGGUAGCGCCCUCGCUUCCCAUGCCAAAGGUCGCGGGAUCGAUCCCCGCGUCCUCCACAGGCGAAUAUAUUUUUAAAUCCUUUAUAUUAAGUUCGCUGCCACGCAUAUAAAGGAUUUAUAGUGAAAAACUUUGUUUUUACGGGUUAUACUUAUUUUCUCUCUCUACGUGGCUUUACCGAAAGACCCAAAGAAUAUGAAUUCCUGCAGUCACGAAAGCUUUAAGUCAAGAUUGUACUCGUGAGUGUCACUUGAAACGUGUUGUUUGCUUCGGGAAAUUAUUAUACCAAAGGCGUUUCCAUUCCCUUGUUUGAAAUGUUUCAUCCAAUCUUAGUCCUCAAUCUAGAUGCACUAAUAGGUAGUAUGUUUCUCUAAUCUUAAUGUUCGCUUUAGUUUGAAUAUUAAAUUAAUAUUUAAAUAACCUUUUUCAUUUGUUGACUAUUUUUCAUUGCUGUAUUUAUUGCAUUCAUAAUUUUAACAGUUUUUUCCGUUUUGUUCAUGAAACCAGAUUCAAGAGCGUCUUAGCUCAA
Molecule: long non-coding RNA, 5051 nt
Organism: Lethenteron reissneri (Far Eastern brook lamprey)
Lineage: Eukaryota; Metazoa; Chordata; Hyperoartia; Petromyzontiformes; Petromyzontidae
Source: RefSeq, a predicted model, not a curated record